RNAcentral lists this ribosomal RNA (459 nucleotides) under uncultured bacterium. Its description in RNAcentral is "partial 16S ribosomal RNA". It matches the Rfam family "Bacterial small subunit ribosomal RNA", at positions 338 to 795 of the family's 1533-position model. The record is from RNAcentral.
CCUACGGGUGGCAGCAGUGAGGAAUAUUGGUCAAUGGGCGGGAGCCUGAACCAGCCAAGUCGCGUGAGGGAAGAAGGUACUGAGUAUUGUAAACCUCUUUUGCCAGGGGACAAAGGCGGCCACGGGUGGCCGUAAGAGGGUACCUGGAGAAAAAGCAUCGGCUAACUCCGUGCCAGCAGCCGCGGUAAUACGGAGGAUGCGAGCGUUAUCCGGAUUUAUUGGGUUUAAAGGGUGCGCAGGCGGAGGUGCAAGUCAGCGGUCAAAUUGCGGGGCUCAACCCCGUACUGCCGUUGAAACUGCAUCCCUUGAGUGCGCGAGAAGUAUGCGGAAUGCGUGGUGUAGCGGUGAAAUGCAUAGAUAUCACGCAGAACUCCGAUUGCGAAGGCAGCAUACCGGCGCUCAACUGACGCUCAUGCACGAAAGUGUGGGUAUCGAACAGGAUUAGAUACCCGGGUAGUC